RNAcentral lists this non-coding RNA (27 nucleotides) under Bombyx mori (domestic silkworm). The record is from RNAcentral. Lineage: Eukaryota; Metazoa; Arthropoda; Insecta; Lepidoptera; Bombycidae.
UGAUACUUGUGCUGAGGCUGUAAAUCA